AGCGAACGCUGGCGGCAGGCCUAACACAUGCAAGUCGAACGAACGCUUCGUAAUUACUUGCGGACACGGGAGUAGCACGGCGGAACGUGCCGUUUUGUUCGGAAUAACUCAUUUAAACUUGUGCUAAUACCGGAUGUGCCCUUCUAGUGAAAGAUUUAACGCCAUUAGAGCAGCCCGCGUCUGUUUAGCUAGUUGGGGAGGUAACGGCGCACCAAGGCUACGAUCAGUAGCUGGUCUGAGAGGAUGACUGGCCACACUGGGACUGAGCCACGGCCCAGAAUACUACGGGAGGCAGCAGUGGCGAAUCUUGCGCAAUGGGCGAAAGCAUGAAGCAGCCAGGCUGCGUGAAUGCUGAAGGUCUUAGGAAAGUAAAAUUGUUUAAUCGGCGACGAUACUGACGGUACCCGGAGAAGAAGCACCGGCUAACUUCGUG
Molecule: ribosomal RNA, 433 nt
Filed under: uncultured bacterium
Lineage: Bacteria
Description: partial 16S ribosomal RNA
Rfam family: Bacterial small subunit ribosomal RNA
Source: RNAcentral